RNAcentral lists this ribosomal RNA (744 nucleotides) under Tritoma bipustulata. RNAcentral's name for it is "partial 16S ribosomal RNA". The stretch from base 1 to 533 matches the Rfam family "Bacterial large subunit ribosomal RNA", at positions 1923 to 2925 of the family's 2925-position model. The record is from RNAcentral. Lineage: Eukaryota; Metazoa; Arthropoda; Insecta; Coleoptera; Erotylidae.
UUAAAUGGCGCGGUAUUUUGACCGUGCUAAGGUAGCAUAAUCAUUUGUUCUUUAAUUGAGAGCUAGAAUGAACGGUCGGAUGAAAAAUAACUGUCUCUAUUUAAUUUAUAUAGAAUUUUAUUUUUAAGUUAAAAAGCUUAAAUUUUCUUUAAAGACGAGAAGACCCUAUAGAGUUUUAUCUAUAAUUAUAAUUAAUAUAUUUUAGUAUUAAUAUAGUUAAUUUAAUUAUAGUUUUAGUUGGGGUGAUUGAAAAAUUUAAUUAACUUUUUUUAUUUUUUUACAUAGAUUUAUGAAUAAAUGAUCCAAUAUUUUUGAUUAUAAGAUAAAGUUACCUUAGGGAUAACAGCGUAAUUUUUUUUGAGAGUUCUUAUCGAAAAAAAAGAUUGCGACCUCGAUGUUGGAUUAAAAUUGAUUUUUGGUGCAGGAGCUAAAAUAUUAAGUCUGUUCGACUUUUAAAAUUUUACAUGAUCUGAGUUUAAACCGGCGUAAGCCAGGUUGGUUUCUAUCUUGAAUUAUUUGUAAUAUUUUAGUACGAAAGGAUUAAAUAUUAAAUAAAAUAUUUUUAUUUAGAAUAGAAUUGUUAUUUUGGCMGAAUAGUGCARUUGAUUUAGAAUCUUUUUAUAUAAGAUUUAUCUUAUAAAUAAUAAUUGAUAUAUAUAGAUAUGGUUUUAUGCUUAAUAAGAAGAAUUAUUUUAUUAGUAUGUGUAUUGAUUAGUGUAGCUUUUUUAACUUUAUUGGAACGGA